This is a long non-coding RNA of Exaiptasia diaphana, 585 nucleotides long. RefSeq lists it as uncharacterized. The transcript is spliced from 2 exons. The record is from RefSeq and is a predicted model, not a curated record. NCBI's taxonomy places the organism in Eukaryota, Metazoa, Cnidaria, Anthozoa, Actiniaria, Aiptasiidae.
AGAAUUGAACAUCAAAAUAAAAAAAGAAGCAAAUCCAKUGAUGAUAUAUAAAAUAAAAAAACUUAUGACCCAAAAGCACAUAAUGGCGCAAAAUCAAGAACCAGAAUUAUUGUUCUUAGGUAUCUCGAUUAACAUGGUGGACAAGGUAUGAUAAAGACACCUCUGAUGAUACUCUUCCAACUGAGAAAGUCGRGGAAACUGAAGAAGUCGAAUUAAAUAUAAUACCAUCGAAAGAAGUCAACGGAAGCGGUGAAGAGAGACUGCCGAUUACUGAAAUAGAAUUUGGUCGACCAUCUUAUUUUUCAAUGUUUGUCGACUGGUUUUGCGGCUACAAAGAAGAUAGCGUUGAAGCCAUCCAARCACAAAAGGAACAUCAAGAAAAAAUGGCUAUACUCACUUCAUUGAAGCAAGACCCCAAAGCAAAAAUCUUUCUCUACGUCAAUGUGGUUAUUAGUAUAAUAAUAGGACUCGCUAUUUAUAUUUAUUUUUCAGUUUGAUGUACGAAAUAGGGAAUACUUUUUUAUCAUAGUAAUGUCUUUCCAGGUCUUUCCAACAUUUUCUCCUAUUAAACACGUUCAUGAAUUA